RNAcentral lists this transfer RNA (66 nucleotides) under Trialeurodes vaporariorum (greenhouse whitefly). RNAcentral's name for it is "tRNA-Tyr". It matches the Rfam family "tRNA". Rfam says of the family: Transfer RNA (tRNA) molecules are approximately 80 nucleotides in length. Their secondary structure includes four short double-helical elements and three loops (D, anti-codon, and T loops). Further hydrogen bonds mediate the characteristic L-shaped molecular structure. tRNAs have two regions of fundamental functional importance: the anti-codon, which is responsible for specific mRNA codon recognition, and the 3' end, to which the tRNAs corresponding amino acid is attached (by aminoacyl-tRNA synthetases). tRNAs cope with the degeneracy of the genetic code in two manners: having more than one tRNA (with a specific anti-codon) for a particular amino acid; and 'wobble' base-pairing, i.e. permitting non-standard base-pairing at the 3rd anti-codon position. The record is from RNAcentral. Lineage: Eukaryota; Metazoa; Arthropoda; Insecta; Hemiptera; Aleyrodidae.
AGUAAAAUGCCUGAAAAAGGAUUAAAUUGUAAAUUUAAAAAUAAUAGAAGAAUCUGUUUUUUACUA